RNAcentral lists this long non-coding RNA (1237 nucleotides) under Malus domestica (apple). RNAcentral's name for it is "long non-coding RNA (MDOM_LNC004602)". The record is from RNAcentral. Lineage: Eukaryota; Viridiplantae; Streptophyta; Magnoliopsida; Rosales; Rosaceae.
UCUAUAUGGCAAUAUAUUUUGCAUUCAUAAUGGAACACACUAAAGUCAUUACUUUUGAUGUUUCCAUCCAAAUAUCUCUUUAAUCAUAAUAAAGAGAUAUCUGAUUAUCUCUUCAUUCAUAAUGAAGAAAUAUCCAAUUAUGGAUUAGAUUCAUAAUCUAAUACAUUUACGCUUCCAUUACGUUACUCUAAUUCUUCCUCAUUCUUUGAGGAAUCUAUCCUUUAGUAUUUCUUAAAUACUUAAGGACUCACUUGACAGUUGCUGUGGUUUUGAUCCUGGGCUUGCAUUGAUAUCGUCUUGUACCUUUCUAGGUACAACUCAUAUCAAUGUUUUUCAUACAAUAUGAAAUACAUAAAUCACCUCUAUGCGUAUGCAUAAAGGAUUCUAUUUACGCAUUAUUUCUUUGGGAGUCAAAGGGUACGUUCCCUUUGAGAAGGGCAACUUGCUAGUCUCACUAGAGUCGUCCUUCUAAUUGAAGUUUAUCAUCAUAUGAGAAACUUCCUAGCAUCUCUUGUCUAUUAUUAGGGCUUGAUAUAAUCCAAUUAUAUCCUAAAAUCUAUCAAUAUAGAUUUCCAUCCCAUGUAUAUAGAUUAUGUCUCCCAUAUACAUUCUAUCUUCAUAUAAUGUUUUUUAAGUCAUAACUUUAACUAAGAAGUAUUCUUUUCAUUUCCAAAAUUAAUAUAUCAUAUAUUUGUAUAUAUAUAUAUAUAUAUAUUCAAAUUUAGGAACAUGAUUAACUCCCACUAAUCUUUUGUAAACCUAGUAAACAAAAGAUUCAUUUACAUCUUUAUGAGAAAUCAAACGUUUUGAUCUUUCUCUCAUAAGACGUUUACAACUCCCACUAGCUUGCUAAGAUCCAUGAUGAUUGGAUCUCUACAACUUACAUGUCUUGUGAUUCAUAGUUUUAGACAUAUAUUAUCAAGACUAUCUUAAUAAUGGUUUCGGAAACCUAUAUUAUGUCCAAACAUUGAAUCACCAUUUAGUUGUAGCUAGCAAUCUUCGAAUUAAUUGAAAACAAGACUACGUCAAAGAUGGUUUCUUCAAAGUCAACCAUUCUCUUUGAUUGUAGUCACCUUAAGCUACCAAUUAGCUUUUUAAGGUUUCAUUAUUUCGGGUCAAAUGGUACUUUACCAUUUCCUUGAGUAUAUAUCGUAUAUACACUUAAUGUAGUCAUAAGGAUUUUCAUUCUUAUUUCUUUCGAAUUAAGAGGUGUAACUCUAUGACAUAGUCAUAAAGU